This 484-nucleotide ribosomal RNA is filed under the name uncultured bacterium. Its description in RNAcentral is "partial 16S ribosomal RNA". It matches the Rfam family "Bacterial small subunit ribosomal RNA", at positions 28 to 507 of the family's 1533-position model. The record is from RNAcentral.
AUUGAACGCUGGCGGCAUGCUUUACACAUGCAAGUCGAACGGCAGCGCGGGCUUCGGCCUGGCGGCGAGUGGCGAACGGGUGAGUAAUGCAUCGGAACGUGCCCAGUUGUGGGGGAUAGCCCGGCGACAGCCGGAUUAAUACCGCAUACGACCUGAGGGUGAAAGCGGGGGACCGAAAGGCCUCGCGCUCUUGGCGGGGCCGAUGUCGGAUUAGCUAGUUGGUGGGGUAAAGGCUUACCAAGGCGACGAUCCGUAGCUGGUCUGAGAGGACGACCAGCCACACUGGGACUGAGACACGGCCCAGACUCCUACGGGAGGCAGCAGUGGGGAAUUUUGGACAAUGGGGGCAACCCUGAUCCAGCCAUGCCGCGUGCGGGAAGAAGGCCUUCGGGUUGUAAACCGCUUUUGUUCGGGAAGAAAACCUCUGGGCUAAUACCCCGGGGGGAUGACGGUACCGGAAGAAUAAGCACCGGCUAACUACGUG